This 608-nucleotide ribosomal RNA is filed under the name uncultured Actinomycetes bacterium. RNAcentral describes it as "bacterial SSU rRNA". It matches the Rfam family "Bacterial small subunit ribosomal RNA", at positions 251 to 874 of the family's 1533-position model. The record is from RNAcentral. Lineage: Bacteria; Bacillati; Actinomycetota; Actinomycetes.
GGUGAGGUAACGGCUCACCAAGGCAUUGACGGGUAGCUAGUCUGAGAGGACGAAUAGCCACACUGGGACUGAGACACGGCCCAGACUCCUACGGGAGGCAGCAGUGGGGAAUCUUGCACAAUGGGCGAAAGCCUGAUGCAGCGACGCCGCGUGGGGGAUGAAGGCCCUAGGGUCGUAAACCCCUUUCAGUGGGGACGAAACUGACGGUACCCACAGAAGAAGGUCCGGCCAACUAUGUGCCAGCAGCCGCGGUAAGACGUAGGGACCGAGCGUUAUCCGGAUUUAUUGGGCGUAAAGAGCUCGUAGGCGGUUGCGUAAGUCGGAUGUGAAAACUUGAGGCUCAACCUCGAGACGCCAUCCGAUACUGCGCUGACUUGAAUCCAGUAGGGGAGUGUGGAAUUUGUUGUGUAGCGGUGAAAUGCGCAGAUAUGACAAGGAACACCUAUGGCGAAGGCAGCACUCUGGGCUGGUAUUGACGCUGAGGAGCGAAAGCAUGGGUAGCAAACAGGAUUAGAUACCCUGGUAGUCCAUGCCGUAAACGGUGGGCACUAGGUGUGGGGACUUUCAACGGUUUCCGUGCCGAAGCUAACGCAUUAAGUGCCCCGCCU